UGUGUGGUGUGGGGGGGGCAGAGGGAGAGAGAACAGAGGCUUCCGCUGGGUCCUAUGGAGAAAGGCAAGGGCUUGGCAGAGGGGAAGUCCUUCAGUCGUCUGUGAUACCCUUGGCUCUCAGCUCCUCUUGCACCCGGGUCAGGUAGGUGGGGUCCGGGUACCCAAACCUGGGAGCAAAGAGAGACGAAGGUCAGGAUUAGCCAUUCCAGCUGACUCAUCUUAGCCUCAUGCUCUCCCUCAUUCUGGGGGCCCAGUUCCAGCCGCUCCCCACUUCCCCUGAGCAUAGCCAAUCCUGAGAUAACUUAGCCCACUUCUGCUUAUUUCUGUAGGUUAAGCUGGGCAUAUUGGGCCAGGUGGAAUGUAGAGACGCUGGGAUGGAAGAGAUGGCUGGGAUAGUUUGGGGGUGGUCCUCUCUAGUUAGGAGGCUCUAGGAGAGAGGGGGUUGCUGUCAUUCCCUGGAGUGAAAAUAGAGAGAAGGGGAGGAGCCAAGGGAGGGAAAGGAAAUGAAGGAGGGUCGCACAGCUGGGGUCCUCCUGUGCAGCUGGUCUUGUGGUGAAUGUCGUUCCAGGUGAUGACAUUCGGUCUCCCUGUGGUCAUGGACGUGCCGAUAGUGAAGGUGAGACGCUGGUCAAAUGCCUUGCGGAACAGGGUCAGCACCUUGUUGCCCUCGGGGCAGUCCGGGAGGUAGGCCACCCGUGUGGUGCCAGGGUACCGAACUCCUGGGUUUGGGUGUUCAGCCUGGGACGAAGGGGAAGCAGAGAGGACAGUGAGCAGCUGGGCACGUGAAGGCCCGUGAUGCCAACCGAGGGUCAUCCUGGUCCACUGGCCGCCUAAUGCUGAUGGGGCAGCAACGGGCCGACAGCCUUUCAAGGAGGGAGAGACUUCCUUGAAAGGUUUGGACAGCAGGAGCCCAUUUUUGGACAAAAUCCUUACUACUAAGGAAGUUCCUUCUGCUGCCUCAAUCUCUCAAGUCUCAGUUCAGCAACAAAUGGAUUCUCAAAAGUGAUGGCAAGCCGCUCGCUCGUCCUCACCCACCAGAUAAGUCAGCAGAAAUGUGAAGACUGAGAAUAAUCUCUCUCUGUCUUCCCCUCUCCACCUGAAAACACUCCCAGCGCUUCUAAGCCUGCCUAGCCCGGGCCACUUUCCCAUUACUCUCCUUCAGAGCUUCCUCAGCCCUCUGCAAACCAGGCCUGGAAAUUACCCUUGCAUGGUCAAGCAGGAGACACCUAGAGGCUCUCGACCACUCCUGGUUUAACCUCCCACUGUCAACAAGAUUUUCCUCUCAGCAGUCUGGAACAAAGCAGCACUCACUGCUCUGUGAAGAGGGUCAGAUCCCUUCCCGCUAGGCCUGCCUGCACCUGAGCCACCUUCUCCACAGAAUUCACCUCUGCCAAGAAUAGCUGUCGUCAUCCAUCCAAGUUCACCGAGGCAAGAGCCUUUCUCUCCUACCUGAGUUUCAUAUGUGCCGUGGAGUCGUGGGCUAGAAAAGCUGGGCCUGAAGGUGGGGGGACCAGCUAGCUCCAGGGCACCGGGUGCGAAGGCAUGCUGGGAGGCGGCAAGACUACAUCACAUCUAACAAACACACUCCCCUUCACCCAGGUUUCCUAGGUCAGAGAACACGCUUGGGGAAAACCGAAGGGCACGGCAGGUCUUCUUACCCCCUGGACACCGGGCGGGAAGACGUACUGGAUGACAAUGGUGCCAUACUUCUCAUAGCUGGGCAGUAGGAGCGUGGCGUCCUUAGAGACCAGCAUGCGCCCAUUCUGGGGCUGGUUGCCCACCAGCUGCCCAUAGAAGCGGCCACACAUGGGACAAGCCUUUUUCACCUGCAGGGCCCGGGUGAUGCAGCCCUCACAGAACGAGUGCCGGCACUUCUCCAAGGUCUUGGCGUUCUGGAUCUCCCCCAGACAGAUGGGGCAGGUGCUCUCCUGCUCCUCAGCCUCCUCCCGAAGGCGGGGAGGAAGUGGAGGGGGGAGGGGAGGAGGAGGAGGGGGAAGCCCCCGAGCCCCUGGGGGCAGGAGCGGGGCUGCUCGCAGAGGGGGAGGGGGUGGCCCUGGGCGGUGCAGCUCAGGGUGCUCCCCGCCACCCCCCAAAGCCAGGCAGCCCAUAAGCUCGCCCUGCCUCUGAGCUUUUUUCAGCUCUUUCUCGGCCUCUUUUAGCAGCCCCUUGAGCGCCUUCCGGGCCAGGUAGAGCCCGUUGGGGGGUGCCGGGGGAGGACCCUGCGGGGAUAGCUGCAGGACGUAGAUGUCAGAAGUUUCGCCAUCGAUGAGGAUGGACACGCGGUGCUCCUCCCGAAGCCGGGCCAGCCGGGCUGGGGUCUCCUUGCUCAGGAAGUCCCACACAGGCUUGGAGACAGUCACUUUAUUCUUGCAGGUGCCUCCACAGGCUGCCAUUCUGGACAGGACGAACGACACUGCCCCCAGGGUGAAAGGGACUCAGGGUGGGGGGUCCCCAUUUGACAAAAUCCGUGCCUACUACCUCAGGUUGCUUUCAGGCCCUUUAUCACCUCUACUGUCCCACAGUCCAACCCCUGACUCCUAGCCACCCCAGCUGAUUUUCUGUCUCAGAGCUCUUAUCUUUCAAAUCCUAGCACCCACUAAAGAGCAAGAAAGUUUCUAUGACUUUAUUAUUAUCAUCGUCUGGGCCAAGCAGCAGUCUUGGUUCUGUUUCCACUCCUCCCAAGAUCACAGAAACAAUCUGGCCCUCCUCCCUCUGGGGGGGGGGGGACCAGCUUCUUUAAAGGGGAGGGAGACUUUUUUGCUCACUUUGAUCCUGAACAGCUUAGAAUUGGCAUGCAGGCUCGCUCCACUGUCCCUGCUUCCUACUUGUCAGCUGUGGGACCUGGUGGGUGGAAGGGAAAAGAAGGGAAGCUCUGAGGCUCUCAAGAAGGCCUAGGGCGCAGAUGAGAGAAGUCAGGAAGGGAAAAGCCCCCCCCCCCCCCACGGAGGUCUUUCUUGCCACCUGCCUCGGAUCACACGGGAGUGACUGUGUCAUCAGGCCCAGAACUCCGGGGGGGAAGAGGGAGCACCCCAUCAGCCCUUCUCCCUGGCCCCCCCAUACGUGGACUCUGACAGAGCUGGAGAUGACAGCGAUGGGAGUAAAUACACAAGAUCUUUAUUAAUUAAUAAAACAAAAAAGAUGAAAAACAGAAGCAACAAAACGAAGACCAUUCUGCUCAUGAUACAUCAGCCACAUGGUCAGAAAACCAAUUUCUAAAGAGCAACAGCUGCUGGUGUCAUGGAGUUUUAUUGCAUUCAAAAGGGGAAGGUAGAUGGUUGGAAUGAAAAAGAUCAGCAGGCCCCUGAUGGGAAGAUAUUAUAGGGGCUCUAAUUCUUAACUGUGGACUCGUCUUGUUACUUCCUUUGGAGAAGAUGAAGGGGAGAGAGAAAUUCUCCUUUA
This is a long non-coding RNA of Canis lupus familiaris (dog), 3399 nucleotides long. RefSeq lists it as uncharacterized. The transcript has 4 exons. The record is from RefSeq and is a predicted model, not a curated record. NCBI's taxonomy places the organism in Eukaryota, Metazoa, Chordata, Mammalia, Carnivora, Canidae.